UAAGUACGUUUACUUGUAGUUUGUUUUAAUUAAAAUCGAUGUGUUUAAUCUGUAAUUGGAUUAAGUACAUACUGAAGCAUAGGCAUAACUGUCUUUUAAAACUUUUUGCACCAAUUUGCAAAACACAUAACACAUUAUACCCAAUAGAUCCAUCAAACCAAUUGGUAUCUAGUAAUACACAAAAUAUUGUAAACAUCUUGGUAUAAAUAACAGUGCCAGUACAAUUCGUUUUAAAGUACACUAUAAGAAUAUACCUAGAAUAAAAGCCAUGAAAAAACUACGCAUAACAAGGACAAUAAUAUAUGAACAUGAUAAACAACAGCAGAAUUCAGUUAGCUUUCAACAUUUACUAUUCAUGGUUUUGGUUGAAAACGAGAUAACAGAUAAGUGACAGUAAAAUGGUUUUUCUAUGAAAUGGAGACUCUGAUAAACUACAAAAUCGUUGUUGAAAUUUGAAUAAAUUAAAGUUUUGUUUUGUUACAGAGUGAUUUCCCUUGAUAUAAGACACAAAACGGAUGGGGAAAAAGAUGAUCAUGAUUUUCAAACAGAGUAGCCAUCCUAUAAUGAGUAAGUACAAGUAAGUAAAAGAUUUAAUAACUACGCCAAAAUAUACUACGCAACAAUUAUAAAUAUUAAAUUGAAGUGGUUUUUUUUUAAAAUGAAUUCAUAAUUAUUUGGAUAAUAUCAUACUUUACUUUAAAAAAAACCAUGAAAAACUAAGAUAUGUCUCUUGCAAAUACGUUCAACGUUAUGUUUAGCAUGUUCAAAGCCGAAACAAUAAGUAAUCUCGGGCAUAAUCAAUUUUCCAUUAUUCGGCUAUAGUUGAUGUAAUGUGACCACAUUUUGUAUCACAUGAUGAAGACCUGGGUGUAUAUUUAAAUUUGUCGUGAUUGGUUGCAAAAAUGAACGUAGAAUAUGUUGUGUUUGUAUUGAUUUUUAUUCUUUUUUUCUUUUUAAAUAAUCAGUAAAAGCAAUAAAUGACAUUUUGUUUUGUCCUUCAGGCUCACCAAAUUAUACAGAUGCCAAUAAACGUAUUAUACAUAUACAUGAUAAAGGGACGUUCUCAUUCUCUUUAUCAUAGUAUUUGUAUCUACCAUAAGCAACAUGAUGAGUUAACUGAUAUCUUCCAUUGUUUUAAGUAGGGUAAGCCAUGUUCAGUCUUUAGUAUUCUAAUUCGGAUUGUAUGAAAUGGUCGUCUACUGAUAAUUCACAAUAAUUUUCUUCAUGGGUAUUGAAUAUUACGUUGAUACCUUUGCCGCUUUUUUUUUACAAAAUAUAAGAAUAGAUUAUAAUGACAAUUUGUCCAUGUUAUCUUCACUUCUUAGAUGUAGACUAAUGUAAAUGUACCUGCCGUCUCUUUUUCAGCGGUUCACCGACAACUAACUAUAGAGGGAGUGUGAGACAGGUUACAUCAUUAUGUUAGAAAACAAGCCCAUACCAUAUAUUCGACAAUCAAAU
This 1458-nucleotide long non-coding RNA is filed under the name Mytilus galloprovincialis (Mediterranean mussel). The record is from RNAcentral. Lineage: Eukaryota; Metazoa; Mollusca; Bivalvia; Mytilida; Mytilidae.